GCAAAAGCAACAGUGUUUGUGGUGAAUGUCAAAGAAGGAGCCCAGGCCCCGUGGCGGGGAUUGUUUCCUUGUGAGUAGGUUCCUAAAGGAGCAAUUCCUGGCUUCCGCGUCCUGAGCGUAAGGACUCGAGCUGCUCUGUCCGACGUCAUAAGGUGGAAGAUAGAACUUUGCAGGCUCGUUGACGGGAUGAGGGCCACCCUCGAAAAGAUCUGUUGCCACUCGGUUAAGAAAUCAGAAACAAGGAGCAGGAGAAAAAGCAAGACCCUGCAGCUGGAGUGGCUAGACACAGAACUGCCCUCCUCGGAAGUAUCAAAGGACCCAGCUCCUGGGGACGGCCCCCAAGGUCAGCUCUCGCCUCCAGUGCCCUUUCUCUUCCUUGAUUCUUCUUGAACCCCACUAAAGUGUUGAACUUCUCAGUUACCCUAUGAGUUAGGGAGGGAUAACCACCCCCACACCAGAGAUUGACAAGCUGGGAUGCAGAGAAAGAAGCAAGUUUCCCAGUAUCCUGCAGGCUGCAGAAUUUAUUUUCUGGGUUCCAGCGUUCUUCCGUCACCUUCCACGCCCUCCUCUGUCAUGGCCCACAGAGCCACAAGAGCUCCUUCAGACUGGUGUUUGGAGAGAAUGGCUUAUGGAUAUCAUCUUUAACUUUGCUAAAUCAUUAUUCUGAGAAGGGUCCACAGGCUUCAACAGAUGCCAAAGGGGUUCACGACACACACAAAAAAAAUGGGAAUUGUUAGGACAUUCAUCCAAAAGCCAUUUGUUAAGCACCGGUUGGAUGUGUGGACAAGGGAGAUAGAUGACUCUCAAAUUUCUGGCCUGAGUGUCGAAGUGGAGAAUUCUACUUUUCAGCAAGAAACAGAAUGUGUGUGAGGAGCGAGGGGAGAUCAAACUUGUGAGGGAAGGAAAUUGUUGAGCUUUGAACUUGGUGAGUUUGAGGUUGGAUGACUAUAGUCGGAUAUAUGGAUCCAAAGCUUAGAAAAAAGUCUAGGUUCGAAAUCUUAACGUGGGGGUCAUAGUUGCAUAUGUGGUACGUAAAACUAUUGGCAAGGAUGAGAUUGCUCUUUUACCAUGCAGACAUGCAUUCUUUGAGGACUUUUAAGUAGCUGAAGACAAUGACAGGUGUACAAUAAGUAACCCCCCAACCCCCUCCCUCCACCAAACAACAAAAUAGAUUCAGAACUACGAAAUCUCUAUGCAAAACCACACUCUCGAUGCUACUUGAAGAGAAUGCCAGAGUGCUUAAAACAAAAUUGUGAGCAAAAAGAGAAAAAGAAAUGAGUCCCAUGCCCUCUGUCCCUCCCUUUCUCACCACAGAGCUCUGCCGCAAGCAAAGGCAGACCAAUAAAAACUACUAGAAAUCCACAGGAGGGCAUAGGCAAGGGGAUCCUAGGGAGAGCUGGAAAGGGUGCCAGAAAAAUUAAAUAGAGCAGGACUUCAGGAAGGGGAUUUCAAAGUAUGUGCCUUUUAAUAGGUAGGCAGAUAAUUAAAGGACAAGACACAAUUUAAAGGGAUAGACACAGUUGAAAUGAGCAAGUGUGAUUUAAAGGGAUGGUCUUUCAAACACAUAACUUCUAGGAGAGAAAAAAAGUGGGGGGGGGGGAAUGAAGAAAAAAGCAUCGUUUAGCAAUGAGGUGGUAAGAAAAAAAUGUAGGAUCCCACAAGAAAAAGUAGAUCAACAAAAUUGGUGGACUCAGAAUUCCUCCCCUACCACCAAAACAAACAACAAAAUCCAGCUAAAGUACCCGAAUUUUACUAGAACAACAGUAAAGAAUGCCAUUUAACUGGGAACCAUGUAAAAUGUUCCAAUAUCGCAAAAUGAAAAACAGAACAAUAAAAUCCAAACAGGAGCAUUGCAGAACAAACUUUCAUGCAAAUUAACUGAGGAAAAUCCAAACUCCCCCAAGAAAAGACAUGAAACAGAAGGAAACUUUAAGUUUACACUUCACACUAAAUUAAAUAUAUCCUAACAAGCAUUUGAAGAUAUGAAAGACCACUUCAAAUUAGAAAUUCAAACACUGAGAGUAGAAAUGGACAGAAGAAAAAAACAUAUAGAGAAAUAAAAAAAUAGUUGACUGAAUUCAGAAAAGAAAUGGAAGAGAAAAAGACAUUAUCUCAGAAAUAAAGAUGAAAUUACACAAUGCCCAAUGAAAAACAGACUUAAGUGAAAAUUUAAUAAGAGACAUUGACAAAAAGCAAGAAAACAACAAAGAGAAUGAAAAUGAUACAAAUGAAGAUAUAAAGUAGAUCAGAGAAAAAUAGUGAAAGCAGAAGACAGGCAAAGAAGGAACAAUAUUUGUAUUAUUGGAGUCCCUAAAGAAGAAAAAGAAAACAAAUGAAACACAAUGACUAUUGAAAAUUAUAAUCCAAAAAAUUUUUCCAGAAAUAGAAAAAGACCUGAAUCUACACUUUGAAAAGGUUUAGUAGGUACCUAGGAAAAUUAACCCAGAAUGAUCAAAACUGAGAUAUAUCCCAGUAAAACUAUUAGAUUUCAAAGAGGAAAAUAAAAUCUUCAAGACCUCCAGGCAAAACAAUAAUAAUAAUCUUUGCAAAAUUAUUUUUUUGCAAAAUUAGUAAUGGCAAAAGAGUUCAAAUGGCACCAGAGUUUCUAAAACCAAAGUACAAAGGAGUAACAUUUUUUAAAAGUUCAAUGAAGGAAAUUAUGAACAAAGGAUUUUAUAUAUAGUCAAGCUGUCCUUGACUAUACCAGUUAACAAUACUAGGGGCUGGCCCCAUGGCGGUGUGGUUAAGUUCAUGUGCUCUGCUUCAGUGGCCCAGGGUGUCACCGGUUCAGAUCCUAGAUGAGGACAUGGCACCACUCAUUAGGCCAUGCUGAGGCCGCAUCCCACAUGCCACAACUAGAAGGACCCACAAGUAAAAUAUACAACUAUGUACUAGCGGGAUUUGGGGAGAAAAAGCAGAAAAAAAAAGAUUGGCAACAGUUGUUAGCUCAGGUGCCAAUCUUAAAAAAUAUAUAUAUAUAUCAUAUAAAAGUUAUGUCAAAUAACGAUUUUCAAUAUAUAAGAACAUAUGGAAUUUUGUACCCAUAAAGUAUUCUUGAAGAAUUUACUAAAGAAUAAGCUUUAUCCAACAAACUGUGACUAGGAAAACUUCAAUAAAAAGUCUGAUAUGAGGCAUUGUAAAAUAUAUAAAUAUACACACAAUAUUAAAUCAAAUUGGAGAUGGAAGUGAAAGACUACCAUAUAGCUGUUAUGUAUCAUGACAAAGUAGAAACAUUGCAACUAAAAUUUGGGAAAAGAGAGGGGAAAAAGUAGAUAUGCCUAUAUUGCAGUAUAGGCAUUAAGAGGACAGUAGAGGAUCAAAAUCCUGAUUUGGGGAAAAAGUUAAAAAAAUUAGAUAAACCACAGGCUAACUUGAUCCCAAAAAAGAGCAAAAGUACAAAUAUACAGAAAAGGAAAAAAUUAAUGAAAAGAGAGAAAUAAUCAUUGAAAUAGAAAAAGAUUUAUAGAUCAUAAGAGACUAAGCUAUAGACCUCUAUGCAAAUAAAUUCAAAAACCUAGAUGAAAUAGAUAAUUUCCUAGGGAAAUAUAUAUAUUUACCUCAUUAGAGUUAGAAAGCUUAAACAAACCAAUUUUCAUACAAGAAAUAGAGAAAGUUACUAAGGAGCACACCCCCACCUCCCACCAGACACACACACAAAUCACCAGGCACACAUGAUUUCACAGGGGAAGUCUACCAAAGCUUCAAAUACUAGCUAGUUCCAUUGCUCUAUAAAUUGCUCCAGAAUAUUGGAAAUGAAAGAAAACUUUUUAAUCCUUUUUAUAAUACAAAUAUAAUACUCACACCUAAACAAAGACAAUGCAAAGAAAUAAACACUCACGAAUAUCAGUGCAAAAAUUCUAAACAAAAUAUUAGUAAACAAAAUACAACACAUUUAAAUCUCUUCAACACUAGCAAAAGGUUGUCUAGCCACACCCUUAACUUUCUUUCCAGAACAUGCUUACCUAACAGCAAAUCUCCUCAUUUUAGCAGCAUUUGUAGUAGACUAGAUAGGCUGAUGAUUUCUCAAAUUAUCAAGUGCUGGUUUCUCUUUGCUUAACAAUUCUUUUCUCAAUUUGUGUCUUUCCUUUGUCAUUUUACUAUAAGCGACAAGAAGAAACCAGGCUGCACCUUCAAUAUCUUACUUGGAAAUCUCCUCAGCUAAAUACCCAGGUUCAUCACUUACAAAUCCUGCUUUACACACAACUGUAGGACACAAUUCAGCUCUCCUUUCUGCCACUAUAUAGCAAAGAUCAUCCUUCUUCCAGUGGCCAAUAACGUGCUCCUCAUUUCUGAGUCCCCACCAAAAGUGCAUUUAAGAUUUAUAUUUCCACCAACAGUCUGUUUAAGGCAAUCCAGGCUUUUUCUAUUAUGUAUCUCAAAAUUCUUCUAGCCUCUACCCAUUAUCCAGUUUCAAAGCCACUUCUACAUUUUUAGGUAUUUGACAGCAGCACCUCACUUCCUAGUAUCAAAAUUUCCAUCAGUUUUCUAUGGCUACUGUUACAAAUUACCACAAACUUUGUGGCUUAAAACAACACGAAUUUAUUCUCUCAUAGUUCUGGAGGCAAAAAGUCUGGAAUUCAGAUGUUGAGAGGGCCAUGUGCCCUCAAUAGACUGCGAGAAUCCAUUCCUUGCCUCUUCCAGCUUCUGGUGGCCAGCAGCAUUCCUUGGCUUGUGAUUACAUCACUCCAAUCUCUGCUUCCAUCUUCACAUUGCCUUCUCCUCUAUGUAUGUGUCUGGUCUCACUCUACCUCUCUCUUAUAACCACAUUUGUGAAGGCAUUUAGGACCCACUUGGAUAACUGAGGAUAAUUUCCUCAUCAGAAGAUUCUUAAUUUAAUCACAUCUGAAAAAUCUUUAUCACAUAAGGAAACAUUUACAGAUUCCAUUGAUUAGGAUCUGAUGGCCAUUAUUCAGCCCGCUAUAAAGAACAAUAACUCUAAAGGAAAGAAAAUCAUCUGACUAUCUCCAUAGACACUGAGAAAGCAUUCGUCAAAAUUUAACACACAUUAUGGUAAAACUAGUCCAGUAUAUAGGAAUUGAUGUAUACUUUCUCAACAUAGAUAAGUAGUUCCAAAGUCAAUUUCUUAUUUAAUGGAGAAACACUAGAACCAUUUCCACUAAGAUCAGGAGUGAGACACAAAUCUCCACUGUCUCUGCUACCAUCAGAGGUACUAGCCAAUGCAAUUAGGCAAGAGAAAUCAAUUAGAGGCAUGGGAAUAAUUAAAGAAGAAGGAAACCUAUAUUUGAAGAUGAUAUGAUAAUAUACCUGGAAAACCCCAGAGAAUCAUUAAUAAAAUUAACUCAAGCAAUAAAAGAAUUUGUUGAAGUAGCAGGAUGUAAAUUGACAUAUAAAAAUCAAUAGGCUUCAUAAAAAUAAACAGGGGACAUAAUGAUAGAGAAAAAAGCAUUUACAAGAGGAUCAAAAUGUAGUAAAUAUUUAUGAAUAAAUUUAACAAGAAGUGUGCAAACCUGUACAAGGAAAACUUUUUAAACACUCCUGAAAGACACUACUAAAGUCUUGGAUAAAUGGAAAGACAUCCCCUAUUCUUGGAGAGGACUAUGGCAUUAUACAAAUAUCAGUUCUCCCUAAGUUAAUUUACACAAAUUUAAUACGAUUCCAAUAAAAUAUCAACAAUCUAUGUUCUAGAGUUAAAGUUGCUACCACAGUUCAUACAGGGAAAAAAAACAUGCAGGAUUGGUAGAAAAACACUAAAAAAGAAAAAAUGCAUGUGGUGACUAGUCUUACCAGAAAUUACAACUUUCUAUAAAGUCUUGACAAUUAAAACAGUGUGGUGUUGGGACAACAGAGACAUAAACAAAUAGAUUAGUGGAAUUGGAUGGUCCAGAAUUAGACCCAAAUGCAUAUGGAAAGCUAGCGUAUGACAAAAGUGGCAUCUCAAAUCACUGGGAUAAUGAUGAACUUUUUAAUAAAUAGUUCUGGAACAACUAGGUAGUCAUUUGGAAAAAGAUAAAAUUAAGUCCACAUUUCACAUUGAACAGUAGAAUAAACUCCAAGUAGAUUAGGAAGUGUAACAACUGAAACCAUUUGAUAUAGAGGAAAACAUGGCUAAAUUAUUCUUUAACCACAGUAAGGAAAAGGCUUUCUCAUUAUGAUUUAAAAUCCAGAGACGAUUUUUAAAAAGCACACGUUGAUAAAUUUGACUGCACACAAAUUAAAAUUUUUCCAUGCCAAAAAAAUACCAAAACAAAGUCAAGAGACAACUGACAAAUGGGGAGAAAAUACUUCAGCAAAUACUAGAGCAAGAGAGCUCAUAUUCCUCAAACAUAAAGAAGUCUUAAUAAUUGAGGGACAAAGAGAAGGAUCAAAAUCCUGACAGAAAAAUGAAGGAAAGACAUAAACAGAUAAUUCACCAAGAAAAAGAGAUAAAAAUGGUCCUUAAAUACGCAAAAAAGUACUCAAACUCACUUACAAUUAAAGAAAUCCAUUUCUCACCUAUCAAAUUGGCAAAAAUUUGAAAAUAGGAGAAUUGCUUCUACUAGUAAAGUUCUUUGGUGAAGCUCUGGGAAACAGACACUUCCAUAUAUUCCUGGUGGGAACGCAAAUUUGUACAAUCCUUUGAGAAGGACAUCAGGAAAUGUCUAGCAGAACUUCACAUGCAUUUUCUUUUUCACCUAGCAAUCCCACUUCCAGGGGCUAUAUCUCCAACUUUGCAAAAAUACAUGUGCACCAACUUAUUCAUUGCUGCAUUGCUUGUAAUUGCAAAACACUGGAAAUGACUUAAAUGCCCAUGUGUGAGAGAGUGCUUGAAUAAAUUGGUAUAUCCACACAAUGGAGUACUAUGCAACUGUGUAAAAGAAUGAGGAAAACCGUGACAGGUAUUAAAUGAAAAAAGGCAAAGCCCCAAAUAGUAUCUAGAGUAUGUGAUCCUUUGUGUACGAACUUAGAUAUAAGAAAAUACACGUCUGCUCAUUCAUGCAAGAGAAAAUGAAGAAGGAUAAAAAGGAUUUGAGGGGCCGGCUCCGUGGCCAAGUGGUUAAGUUCACGAGCUCCACUGUGGCGGCCCAGGGUUCGGAUCCUGGGCAUGGACAUGGCGCCGCUUGUCAGGCCACGUUGAGGUGGCGUCCCACAUCCCACAACUAGAAGGACCUGCAACUAAGAUAUACAACUGUGUACAGGGGGAGGAUUGGGGGAGACAAAGCAGAAAGAAAAAAAAAAAAGAUUGGCAACAGUUGAUAGCCCAGGUGCCAAUCCUGAAAAAAAAAGAAAGGAAGGUGCCAAUCUUUAAAAAAAAAAAAAAAGGAUUUGAAUAAACUCAAAGUAUCUCCCUCAAAAUACUUAUCAAUAAAAAGGGAAAGAUAGUAACUUUAUGGUCCAGCAGAAAUCAGCCCAACUAAGUGAUCAAGGUAAAUAUUACCAGUAACAAGAUAUAUCAACAUCAUGAAUUCCUUCAUAUGACGUGAUGAAAAAGGGACACACUAUCAUUUCUGUGAUAUUCUUGCCAAAAGUGCAUAAUCUAACCCAAAUCAUGAGAAAAUAUUAGACAAAUCUAAAUUAAAGGACAUUCUACAAAAUUACUGAUUGCUACUCCUCAAAAGUGCCAAGGUCGGGAAGGACAAGGAAAGACUAAGAAAGUGUCACAGACUCACAACGUGAGGUCCUGCAUAGGAUCCUGGAACCCGAAAAUAAUACUUGCAGGAAAAUCACUGAAUUUCUAAUACAGUCUGUAGUUUCGUUCAUAAUAUUGUACUAAUGUUAAUGGCCUAUUCUUGAUAUUUAUACUCUGGUGAUGAGAGCUAUUAACACAAGUGAAAGCAUAGUGAAGGAUUUAAAGGAAACCUUUAUAGUACUUUUUCAACAUUUCAUAAGUAAAAUUAGUUCAAAAUAAAAUGUUGUUUUAAAGCCAAAAAUGGAUCUCUUAACUUCUAUUCAGGGUUUUUUGGAAACCUCCACCUUUCCACAAUUUUCCCAUGAAAGUUUCAAAACAUUUCUAAAACCACAUACCACUAAUCUUAAGCUCACAGUGAUCAGAAGGGCAGCCUUGCAGGAUGCCAAAUUAGUCAAGAAGAGGAGAAAGCCAAAGGGGCACCAGAGGAAAUGGAGCAGCUGAGGGAGAGAUUUUUAAAUGACCUCUUUUGUGUUGCUAAAUUUAUUCAUAACCUGGAAUAGGCUACAACCAUCAGAAGGACACAAAACUCAUCAGGUAAAUUCAAAGACUUUUUAAAAAUGCAUCUAACCACCUCCUGUCCAAAACAUUCAAGCUUAACCUUUCUCCUGAAAAUGCAAUCUGCUCUUUACACCCUGCCCGCAUACCAGACUCCGAGACCUAGAUUGUCACACGAGCAGAACCAUCACCUUGUCCUGAUUCAAUAGGUUCGUGUUACAUUAUCAGCUUGAGAUCCUGGGGGUAUGUGGAGAUGUGCCUAUUCAUUGCUGAAAGAGUUCACGCACAAUUUAUGUCCUUCACAGAACUGUGUUCUUAAAACUAUUUUUGGAAUCCAUUUAAUUAUGUUUUUCAAACAACCACAUUAGGAGGUGAUUGUUCUUCGUAUUAGAAGUAAAAGAAAUGAGACAAAGAUCUCAAAACAAUUAAAUGAGAUGCUCAUGAUAAAAAGACUUUGAUAAAGACAACACCAGAUGUAAUAUCUCCAGCCUCUGCAUCCUCUUUUUGAUCUAGAAGAUUGUGCUUCUAUGGGAAAUGUGUACAUGGAGCUACUGAGCGCCGGUAAUCCAGCUGACAUGGCUAUAGGCAUCACAUUCACAAUGUAGUGAUGUACUUUGAUUGCUUCGGUCUUUACACUUUUUGAAGCCUUCUUCAUGUAUUUUAUUUAAUUUUAUCCUCAAACCACAUUGUGAGCACAGGUAGGAUAGAUAUUUCCUUUUAAUGAUGACGCUAUGGCUGAAAGGUUGUGUACCCCAAAAUUCAUAUGUUGAUACCCUAGUUCCUAAGAUGAUGGUGUCAGAGAUGGGGCCUUUGGGAGACGAUUAGGCGGUGAGGGUGGAGGCCUCAGGAAAGGGAUUAGUGCCCAUUUGAAAGAAGUUCCAGAGAGCUCCUCUGGCCCUUCCACCAUGUGAGGACACAGCAAGAAGCGGAGAAGUCCGAGACCCAGGAGAGGGCCCUCACCCAACCACGCUGGCACCCGGAUCUCACACAUCCAGCCUCCAGAACUAUGAGAAAUAAGUUUUUGUUGUUCAUAAACUACCCAAUCUCUGAUAUUUUGUUAUAGUGGCCUGAAUGGACUAAGACAAAAGAUAACACCACACUAUUCAAUAACACUUUAAACUACAUGAAGCCCCCUUAUUGACAUUACCUUACUUAGGUCCUACUAAAAGGAAAAGUGUAAGUUAGUAUUACCCCCAUUUUCUAGAUAACUGAGGCUCAGAGAUGGGCUGAUCCAACGUCACACAGUUAGUGAGGGGAGAGAUGGGAUUUAAGAGCAAGUUUUCUGACUCAUAAUCUAGGAAUUCUCCCCCACUAUGCCAUAGCUGCCUAUGAAAAUGAGGAGAAAUUACAAGUUUCUACUGACUCCAAAAAUGAGUUCACGCAUGACUUCAUGCUAGAAGGGACUCUAAUGGGAUCAUUCUGCUUAGCUGCUUAACCACCACUGCUGUCCCAGUGGGGCCUGGCAGAAACAGAACACGGGCACAAGUUUGCGAGUAAGAGCAGCCCCAGACCAGGCAGCAGGCUAGGAUUCGGGCAGUUGUCUGUAUGGAUGUCAGUGGUUCACUUAGGAACCACUCCCAGGAUGUUCGGAGAGCCAGAGAGAAUGUAUGUUAACUCAUUAAUUAAAAACUCAGAAAGAAUCAUUAAAUAUUUGAGGUAGGAGACAGUGAAGCUUAGGAUGGCUCCUAUUGUACAAAAAAAAAUUGAUUGAGCCAGCUCUGUAUGCUUCCCUUCUUGCCCUUGCAUGUCUUCAAGAUAUGGUGCGCACCUUGCCUAGCCCGGGAGAACUGAGUUUCACAAAUAACAGGACUCCAGAGUCAGGCUUGACCCUUCAGUAUGCUGCUGGGUUCCAUGAUGUUCCAGAGUCUGACCAGGGUCUAUGAUAGAAAGAAAAGAACCAAGAAACUGAAGAGGGAAGGGCUGUAGGAGUGAGGCGGGUGUGCAGAGAAUUGCCUUCCUCCUGGUCCCUGGCUAUGCUGAGGGUGGCGCCUAGGGCGAAAUUCUGGCCACCCCUGUAAUGGCCCACAGAGUUCAGUUGGACAAAGCUCACUAAUCUGGCAGCUGUCACUUCACUUAGAGAGACAUGAUCGAUUUUAUUGCCUGUGGCCUGGAGUCUGGGGCCACACCAGGUGUUGCUGCCAGGUGCAGGCGGAGCUGGCCCUCCCCGUGGCUUCUGCAGGACAAGAGUUUGGAGGCCUUUUCCUCCAGAGUUGAGGGGAUUGGGGUUUGCCUCUGCUGGUUUUUAUGUGGCUGCUUUGGGGGAAACUUUCACAAAAGCGUAAAGCGGCGUUCUGAUAAAUGGUGGCAUGAGAGCUGCGCGGGAGUUCUGGCCCUGAAGGUCACCAGGAAAAGACCAAAACUGGUAAAUUCAGGGAUGUUUUGUCCCGAACUUGCAAAUCCAAACAAUCUCACAGUCAUGAAAUGGAAAGUUUGUGGGAAAAACAAAUGCUUUGGUUAUUACAGUGUUACUACAUUCAUAAAAUAUAUUUCAUUGGGGGGGAGUUUACACAGGGGGUAAUGAGAUUUUUGCUUUAUACAUUAUUUAUCACUGCUUAAUCCAGGUACUGUGGGUUAUUUUUUUAUUCCUUCGUUUUCACAGCUACAAAACACUUCAGUAUUUCUAAUUUAUUUCUGCUUACAAUACAGAUGUUCUCAAUUGUGUUUCUAACUACAUUUCAACCGUUAUGAUCGUGUUUAUUUGUUUGUGUCAGCAGACAAGCAGGGGCUGAAUGUGCGGUACACAAUAGUGAGGCUUCCAGAAGCCUGUAAAAAGGCCUCUUCUGCUUUAGUUAUCAACAAAUUAAAGUACGCUGUGUGGCGCGAUCUUUAUCAUCGCAGUUUUAAUCCUCCGACAAUUCCCCUGCAGUUGGGUAAGCAGAGCAACACCCUCUCUCAGUGCGGAGAGGUUGCACGCCUUCAAACAGCACUUUUCAAGAUGACCAUUUGGAAGCAACAUUUGGAGAACAUUUGGGUUAUGUCCUCUAACUGAAUUUCCAAGCUGUUGGUAACGGACUAAAGAAAAUGCAGUCUGUACUGAAUCCUAAGAAAGCAAGAGUGUGAGAGCCUUGAAGGUCAUGUGUAAAUAUUGACAUUUUAAUUUUCUUUAGCAUACCAAAGUGGGGCGCUUGUGUUGCUUAUCUUCCAUAAAAACUCACCCAUUUGCACUGCUCCCCAGAUUGUCGGGGGAGAGAUCUAAUCUGAGCAGCCGUGGGUGCUCUUCCUUGUCUUUGCUAACAAGGCUGAGUUUUGUUUGUGCAAAAUCUGAGUCAGAGGGGCGUUCCUCCCCUCUCGUCUCCACCACGGCCUGAUGCACCUGAUUAGAUAACAGAAAUCUGUGGGCUGAAUGUUCAUGUAGUAACAUGAAAGCCAAGAUGCAAAACAUUCAGGGAAAACAGCCUCCCACUCUCUCAGAGAGUCAAGUUAGGCUAUUUGGGGAACUAAUAACUGGCUAAUUUGGCCAGAACACCUUUCUAUGUGUCCUCAGAAGCAGCACGAGGAAGAAAUGCCAGCAUGUCCUCAGUCUCUGUACCCUUCUCACAAACCAGGACUCCACCUGCAUAGCUUAAUUUAAUCAGGGCCAAUUCUGAAGGUGAAAUGCAGGUGACAGCCCCAUCUCCCCGCCAACAGCAGUGGUUAGUGCUCCCCAGGCGCUUAACAACUUCGCCAAGACGCUUAGGGGCUGACCUACUGCAUUACUUUCCUACGCCAAAGCCAAGAGCCCCGCUUAUGGAGAACAGCCUGGCAGUUUGAUAACAUGCCAGAGGCUCCUGUCUCCCCACGGUGAGGUCACUGGAAUCAUUUCCCUCCUGAGACAUGGUCGAUUGAAACGCAGCUCUUGUGAAAUGAGGGGCCAGUGAGUGAAACAUGGAGAAAGCAGGGCCACCUCAAAUGGUCUUUGGCCUGAAAGGUUUUUCCUAAGUGAAAAGAAGAAAACUGAAUGUUGGAUCAAAACGAUCUUCCAGUGCUUCAUAACUCAAGCUCUCCGACUGACCUCAAAAAGGGGGAGAUGGCCCAAAAGACCAACAUCAUUGUCUGCUCUCUGCAUUUGAAUUUUGAAAGGUGCUCCUCAAACAUUAAUGAUCUAGCCUCUGUGCCCAAAUAAAUGUCAUGAUUUACUACUCACACUCUAGUUACAAAGCUAAUCACCCUUCCCUCCUCCAGCUCUGUAAGUCUUGGCCGGUUCAAUGAUUGAAAUACCUAGCGCAAGAGAUUAAAGGAACUCUCAAAGAUACAUUACUUUGUUUUGUGUUGAAGCAGUACUGAGUGGGCAGAGUGAGUCCCAUUCAAAAUUCCCAAAUGGGCAAAUUGUGUGCCUGUUGGCCCUUCCCUCCUCUCUCCGGGCUUUCCUCUCACCUCCUUAGCAAACCACCCCUUCAUCCCCACUGAUGAACUUCCAAGGUUCUUCCAGCUCUGUUGGUCCCUUUUAGCCACUGGAAAACAAAGCCAAUAACUAGCUUAGCAUAUUUGCCUGCGUGAAUUAAUUUUGUGUUUUGCUGAAACCCAGAGAAUUUCCAUUUUUAAGGGAAGGAAAGAAAGCCAAAGGAAGGAAUCUUUAGGGUGGAAUGUCAGACACCAUGACACCUGGAUAAAAUAUAAUUUGGGGCAGGGGACGAUAUUCUCAACAUCCCAAAAGUAGAAAAACCAGUCAAGUUCAGUACCCAUCAGGCAGACCUGGUAAAUUUCAGGACAGGGCCCUCCCCCACCCCCAACAUAUACACAACUUCCCACUGUGAUGUUCUAGGCAUAGUGUAUAAUAGCUCUACCUACCUACUCAGAGCCUAAUACUAAUUAGUUUUAAUUAACCUAAUACCUGAUGCCUGAAUACCUGAACUAAAUUAACAGAGUCUGGCUGUCCUGGUUAUUCCCAAGAUCCUCUUGCCUUCCCACCCCCACAAAAAAAUGGCCCAGUAGUUAAAAAAAAGUCCAGAAAUGAAUAAAGAGCAUGAUAGAGUUUCUUUAGAACAUCUAAGUUAAUGUUGCACAAUUCACUGUUUCUGUAAAGAGUUUGAUUCCCCUAGUUGGCCCUGAUUUGUUUCAGCCUAAAGUCUACGAUGCUUUCCUUCCGGUUUGGUCUCCUCCACAUAUUCGAACCUAUAGAGGUGAGUGGCGAGACUGAGAAGACUUGUUUUAUUCGAGUUUGUGAAAAUGAUAGCUUUUAUCAAGUUCGAUGUCAUAAGUUUUCUUCCACAAGACAGAAGAGUAUCCUUCCUGGUGAGCAAUAGUUCUUUAUUACAUAGAAAUCGUUCCUAAUUCUCAGCAGAUAGAGCAUUAGAGAAAACAGGUGUAUUCUCCCAAGUCACAAAGAAUAAUGUGAUGGUCAAUAUGAUUGACUGUUGUAAGCUUUCAUAGCUCAUUUCAGACUGAGAUCCUGAAAUACGGGAAAAGAUCAGUGCCUGCUGGCCAAGGGAGAUCAUUGUGCUGACCAAGGGAGACCAUUGCUGGAGGCAGAAAAUAAACCUCCCAAAAGGUGACCGGGACAACCAUCACUUUCAACAGUGUGUUAAAAGCAAUAAGAUAAAAGGAAUAGGAAACUUAGACUGUGCUUCCUGGAUUCACAAAACAUUCUCAAAAGAAGAGGUAAAUUUCCAUUUUCUGUGAAGUUUAAAAUCUACAAUUUUCUGGCAUCAUUGCCGGAUAUGUAGGAAAAAAAAUCUUUUUUUCGUCUGGUGUAGUGUAUCCCAAUCAGUGUGCACAUCAGGAACACCUGGAGAAUUACGUGGAGUUUUGUUUAUUUGUUUGCUUGUUUCCAAAAUACGUGGUAGCAAUCCACUACAAAAUUUGUACUGAAACUGAAUUUCAUAGUCUGAGGUCAAAGAAAUGUGUACUUUCAAAAAUUCCCCAAGUAAAUUCUGAGAUUGACUCCUAAUUCAACAACACAAAUAUAAACCCUUUAAUUCUACCUUUGAAAGUUGUGAUGACCAACUUUCAGAUUUAAAACCCAUACCUUCUUGACUUGGUAUGUGGGGACAAGGAAAGGAGAGAGUUUAAAUGCUGAAGACAACUUUGACAAGAGUGAACAUGAGGUUAACAAAUUUAGAACCCAAAAUAAAAGAAGGAGAGAACUGUCUUUCCUUGUCUUCUUUCACUCUGCUCUCUCUUGAUUCUCCUCUCGGUAUUGCUGCCAGGCCCUCUCCCUCUGCCUGCUCCAGAAAGGUUUUCUUCCCAUGGUCCUCUUACCCUGUCAGCCUAAGUACUAUCCUAGAUGACCUCAUCAAUCUCCUUGGCUCCAACCCCACAUACACUUGACUCCUGAAUUAGGCUGCGCAGGCUGCCAUAACAAAGUACCACACACUAGGUGCCUUAAACAAUAGACUUUUUAUUUUUUCAUGGUUCUUGAGGCUGGAAGUCCAAGACAAGAUAUUGGCAGGGUUGGUUUCUGGGGACUCUCUCCUUGGCUUAUAGAUAGCCAUCUUCUCUCUGUGCCUUCACAUGGUCUUCCUGCUGGGUGUAACUCUGAGUUCUAAUUUCCUCUUCUUAUAAGGACACCAGCCAUAUUGGAAUAGAGCCUACCUUGCUAACUUGAUUUUCAUUUAUUACCUCUUUUUAAGACUCUGUCUUCAAAUAGAGUCACAUUCUGAGGUGUUGGGGAUUAGAACUUCAACAUAUGAAUUUUGGGGGAAUACAAUUCAGCCCAUAACAACUCCAAAUUCUGUAACUCUAGAUCUACCUAAUGAGUGGUUCAUGAAGUUGAAGAACUCUCACAUGAAAACAAAGGGUAAGACAUCUGUGCUGCUUACGAUAUCAAAACAAGGACCAACGUGUGGAAGAUAAAGUUUGAAAUUUUCAGCCCAAUAUAAAAGAAGGAUUAUGUGACAAUAAGAAGGGUCUAGUUUUAUGGGCUGCUUCUCCUGACAAUAUGUCCCCACCACAGGAAGGGCACAGCAGAGGCUGGAUGGGUGCCUAUUAGGCCUGUCUUCAGGGAGAUACGGCAUGGGCCUCCAAGGUCCCUUUUCCUUCUUUAAUCUGAUGACUUUAGUGAAGGAACAUGAGCUCACAGGUGUUAAAUCAAGAUGAUCAAAAUAAAGUAGUAGCAGAGCUAAAAAGCAGAUGCAUACAUGUGUCUGUAAAUGCAGCACAAUCAGCCAGGAGAAAAACGAGUUUUUGGAACUCUUAGAUUCCUACCCUCCCUGGAGUAAUACAAUGGCAGCCAAGAUAGGGGUGUGAGUCGUUUCAAAAAUGCUAAGGCCUAGGGUAAAGCUGGCGGGUAAGAGUGGAGCUAGACCAACUCAGAAGUGUCUUUCCCAAGAUAAAAUUAUCAUUCAACAAGUGGAUGUCCAUGACAAUUCAAAUGGAAAUUUUUCAAAAGGAAUCACAAAGGUCAGAACCCAGUCGAUUUGACAUCAAUAAAUCUGCUCUAAGCAUCCACUUACAAGGGAUGUGCACAAAAGCCACUCAGGAGGCCAUCUGGUGGCUUGUGUCAGCAUCAAUGGGCCAGUUGUUGGAAGACCCUGACUCAGGAUCCAAUUCUUCUGUAUACUAGUCAGCUGACCUAAGGUAAGUCCUUGCCUUCUCGGAGCCUCAAUUUCCUUAUCUGAAAAAUAGGAAUAAUAUUACCUAUCCUGACACCAAGUUGUGAAAUUUGAUGAGAUCAUGUAAUUUAACUAUGAAUUUAACCAUGCAAUUUAAUUCAAUUCAACUAUGAAUUGUAAUGCCUUAUUCAAAUAUACGGUUUUAAUGUUAUUGCCGUUAUGUUUUUGUUCUUGCCCAAGGUAACUGCC
This 15840-nucleotide long non-coding RNA is filed under the name Equus caballus (horse). RNAcentral describes it as "lncRNA (ENSECAG00000051953.1)". The record is from RNAcentral. Lineage: Eukaryota; Metazoa; Chordata; Mammalia; Perissodactyla; Equidae.